AGUGAACGCUGGCGGUAGGCCUAACACAUGCGAGUCGAACGGCAGCACAGUAAGAGCUUGCUCUUACGGGUGGCGAGUGGCGGACGGGUGAGGAAUACAUCGGAAUCUACUUUUUCGUGGGGGAUAACGUAGGGAAACUUACGCUAAUACCGCAUACGACCUACGGGUGAAAGCAGAGGAUCUUCGGACCUUGCGCGAUUGAAUGAGCCGAUGUCGGAUUAGCUAGUUGGCGGGGUAAAGGCCCACCAAGGCGACGAUCCGUAGCUGGUCUGAGAGGAUGAUCAGCCACACUGGAACUGAGACACGGUCCAGACUCCUACGGGAGGCAGCAGUGGGGAAUAUUGGACAAUGGGCGCAAGCCUGAUCCAGCCAUACCGCGUGGGUGAAGAAGGCCUUCGGGUUGUAAAGCCCUUUUGUUGGGAAAGAAAAGCAGCAGGUUAAUACCCCGCUGUUCUGACGGUACCCAAAGAAUAAGCAACGGCUAACUUCGUG
Molecule: ribosomal RNA, 492 nt
Filed under: uncultured bacterium
Lineage: Bacteria
Description: partial 16S ribosomal RNA
Rfam family: Bacterial small subunit ribosomal RNA
Source: RNAcentral